RNAcentral lists this unclassified non-coding RNA (352 nucleotides) under soil metagenome. RNAcentral's name for it is "partial contains 5.8S ribosomal RNA, internal transcribed spacer 2, and large subunit ribosomal RNA". The stretch from base 1 to 120 matches the Rfam family "5.8S ribosomal RNA", at positions 35 to 154 of the family's 154-position model. The record is from RNAcentral.
GAUGAAGAACGUAGCGAAAUGCGAAAAGUAAUGUGAAUUGCAGAAUUCAGUGAAUCAUCGAAUCUUUGAACGCACAUUGCGCCCGCUGGUACUCCGGCGGGCACGCCUGUCCGAGCGUCAUUUCAACCCUCAAGCCCUCCUUCGGGAUGGGCCUGGUGUUUGGGCUCGGCCGCCAUCUCCGGCGGCCGUCCCCUAAAUACAGUGGCGGUCACGUCGCGACUCCUUUGCGUAGUAGAAACACCUCGCUCCGGAUAGCAACGCGGUCCACGCCGUAAAACCCCCAAUUUUCAAUGGUUGACCUCGGAUCAGGUGGGAAUACCCGCUGAACUUAAGCAUAUCAAUAAGCGGAGGA